This is a long non-coding RNA of Tripterygium wilfordii, 1003 nucleotides long. RefSeq lists it as uncharacterized. NCBI's taxonomy places the organism in Eukaryota, Viridiplantae, Streptophyta, Magnoliopsida, Celastrales, Celastraceae. The transcript has 3 exons. The record is from RefSeq and is a predicted model, not a curated record.
UUAGCAGCGACGGUGAGCACUUCUAUGUUCAACGGGAACGAAGACAGAGCUUGCGUUGCCGACUUUAGGUUUGUUUGCGUCGUGGGCGACGUCGCUAUGGCAGCUUACGGAGCUUAGACGUCGCGACACUUCAACCUUGAAGAUUUGAGCUUGGGCAUAUGGAUUUCACUAGAUCCGUGACAAAUUUUGAAUGAAAGAGGUAUAGAUGGGGCGGUUGUACUGAGUUUGAAGGAGAGAGAGUGGUUUCUUAUAUAGAGGGGAGUGGUUUUAAGAGAGAAACCAUUUUUAGGGUUUCAAGUGAGAGGAAAGUGAAUGAAAAGGCGUGGAAGGGUAUCUAUGUCUUUUCCUUUACUGAAAAGGUCAUAUUUAAGUGUUUCUAAAAGAAGGGUUAGAUUUAAAAAAUAUUUAUUACCAGGGGUCAUUUUUCAAAAAAACCCUAUAAACAAAAGAUAAAUAAACAAAAUGGCUUCUCAUGGAAGCCACAUCGAGAAGCAUCUGGAGAGAGGAAGUGGGAAAAGAAAUAUAUAAGAGACAAGGAUGAUAGGAGAAGGACUGUAAAUGGUUACUAAAUCAAUUUUUCUUAUUGCCUCUACCUCUCUUACGAAAGCAUCUGUGUUGAAGAGGGGAAAUCGCUGAGCACUUCUUUGGAGCUUAACGGGAUGGAGAAGAACUAGAGAGUAAUACCUGAAGCUUCAAGCUGGAGUAAAAAUCAAAGAAGGAACGUAUUUGAAGGGGGAAGUGCCUGUGGGAUUACUUCAUGGUGGAUACGGGUUAAAGAUUUAACUUGUGAUUUUGUGGCCUGUUAGGUGGUGAAUAGCUAUCACGGAAAUUAUACGAAAACCCAAGGAAGCGGGGUGCGUGCUAACAGUAGCUCAGGUGAGUGGAUAGGAAACUUUCCUGGUACACAAGAUCCACGCUCACCUAUGACUUGACAUUACUCUCAGUCAUUGUGAUAUGUUAACCUGUUUGCUAAUUCUUUGCCGUAAAAGAUUCUAUCAUGGUU